RNAcentral lists this ribosomal RNA (506 nucleotides) under uncultured bacterium. RNAcentral's name for it is "bacterial SSU rRNA". It matches the Rfam family "Bacterial small subunit ribosomal RNA", at positions 501 to 1009 of the family's 1533-position model. The record is from RNAcentral.
CUACGUGCCAGCAGCCGCGGUAAUACGGAAGGUCCAGGCGUUAUCCGGAUUUAUUGGGUUUAAAGGGAGUGUAGGCGGUCCGUUAAGCGUGUUGUGAAAUUUAGGUGCUCAACAUCUACCUUGCAGCGCGAACUGGCGGACAUGAGUGCACGCAACGUAUGCGGAAUUCAUGGUGUAGCGGUGAUAUGCUUAGAUAUCAUGACGAACUCCGAUUGCGAAGGCAGCGUACGGGAGUGUUACUGACGCUUAAGCUCGAAGGUGCGGGUAUCGAACAGGAUUAGAUACCCUGGUAGUCCGCACGGUAAACGAUGGAUGCCCGCUGUUAGCGCCUGGCGUUAGCGGCUAAGCGAAAGCAUUAAGCAUCCCACCUGGGGAGUACGCCGGCAACGGUGAAACUCAAAGGAAUUGACGGGGGCCCGCACAAGCGGAGGAACAUGUGGUUUAAUUCGAUGAUACGCGAGGAACCUUACCCGGGCUUGAAUUGCAGACGCAGGAUACAGAGAUGU